RNAcentral lists this ribosomal RNA (254 nucleotides) under uncultured bacterium. Its description in RNAcentral is "partial 16S ribosomal RNA". It matches the Rfam family "Bacterial small subunit ribosomal RNA", at positions 524 to 776 of the family's 1533-position model. The record is from RNAcentral.
UACGUAGGGUGCAAGCGUUAAUCGGAAUUACUGGGCGUAAAGGGCUCGUAGGCGGCCAACUAAGUCAGACGUGAAAUCCCUCGGCUUAACCGGGGAACUGCGUCUGAUACUGGAUGGCUAGAGUGUGGGAGAGGGAUGCGGAAUUCCAGGUGUAGCGGUGAAAUGCGUAGAUAUCUGGAGGAACACCGGUGGCGAAGGCGGCAUCCUGGACCACGACUGACGCUGAGUGAGCGAAAGCCAGGGGAGCAAACGGG